This 253-nucleotide ribosomal RNA is filed under the name uncultured bacterium. Its description in RNAcentral is "partial 16S ribosomal RNA". It matches the Rfam family "Bacterial small subunit ribosomal RNA", at positions 524 to 776 of the family's 1533-position model. The record is from RNAcentral.
UACGUAGGGGGCAAGCGUUGUCCGGAAUCAUUGGGCGUAAAGCGCGUGUAGGCGGCCCGAUAAGUCCGCUGUGAAAGUCCAGGGCUCAACCCUGGGAUGCCGGUGGAUACUGUCGGGCUCGAGUCCGGAAGAGGAGUGUGGAAUUCCUGGUGUAGCGGUGAAAUGCGCAGAUAUCAGGAGGAACACCGAUUGCGAAGGCAGCUCGCUGGGACGUAACUGACGCUGAGACGCGAAAGCGUGGGGAGCAAACAGG